Molecule: ribosomal RNA, 432 nt
Filed under: uncultured bacterium
Lineage: Bacteria
Description: bacterial SSU rRNA
Rfam family: Bacterial small subunit ribosomal RNA
Source: RNAcentral
GGGCCCGCACAAGCGGUGGAGCAUGUGGCUUAAUUCGAUGCAACGCGAAGAACCUUACCUGGGCUUGACAUCCCGAUCGUACCUUUACGAAAGUAGAGGGUCAGCUAGGCUGGAUCGGUGACAGGUGCUGCAUGGCUGUCGUCAGCUCGUGCCGUGAGGUGUUGGGUUAAGUCCCGCAACGAGCGCAACCCUUAUCCUUAGUUGCCAUCAGGGAGUGAUCUGCUGGGCACUCUAGGGAGACUGCCCGUGAUAAGCGGGAGGAAGGUGGGGAUGACGUCAAGUCAGUAUGGUCCUUAUGUCCAGGGCUGCACACGUGCUACAAUGGCUGGUAUAAUGGGACGCCAAACCGCGAGGUGGAGCAAAUCCUCAAAACCAGCCCCAGUUCGGAUUGGAGUCUGCAACUCGACUCCAUGAAGCCGGAAUCGCUAGUAA